UGAAACGACUGCUAAGACUGGAUAGGAGAUAAGAAGGCAUCUUUUUAUUUUUAAAAGACCUAGCAAUAGGUAUGCUUAGGGAAGAGCUUGCGUCACAUUAGUUAGUUGGUGGGGUAAUGGCCUACCAAGACGAUGAUGUGUAGCCGGGCUGAGAGGUCGAACGGCCACAUUGGGACUGAGACACGGCCCAAACUCCUACGGGAGGCAGCAGUAAGGAAUUUUCGGCAAUGGAGGAAACUCUGACCGAGCAAUGCCGCGUGAACGAUGAAGUAUUUCGGUACGUAAAGUUCUUUUAUUAGGGAAGAAAAGAUGGUGGAAAAACCAUUAUGACGGUACCUAAUGAAUAAGCCCCGGCUAACUAUGUGCCAGCAGCCGCGGUAAUACAUAGGGGGCAAGCGUUAUCCGGAAUUAUUGGGCGUAAAGGGUGCGUAGGCGGUUAAAUAAGUUUAUGGUCUAAGUGCAACGCUCAACGUUGUGAUGCUAUAAAAACUGUUUAGCUAGAGUUGGAUAGAGGCAAGUGGAAUUCCGUGUGUAGUGGUAAAAUGCGUAAAUAUACGGAGGAACACCAGAAGCGAAGGCGGCUUGCUGGGUCUUAACUGACGCUGAGGCACGAAAGCGUGGGGAGCAAACAGGAUUAGAUACCCUGGUAGUCCACGCCCUAAACGAUGAGUACUAAACGUUGGAUAAAACCAGUGUUGAAGUUAACACAUUAAGUACUCCGCCUGAGUAGUACGUACGCAAGUAUGAAACUUAAAGGAAUUGACGGGACUCCGCACAAGCGGUGGAUCAUGUUGUUUAAUUCGAAGGUACCCGAAAAACCUCACCAGGUCUUGACAUGCUUUUGCAAAGCUGUAGAAAUACAGUGGAGGUUAUCAGAAGCACAGGUGGUGCAUGGUUGUCGUCAGCUCGUGUCGUGAGAUGUUGGGUUAAGUCCCGCAACGAGCGCAACCCUUGUUGUUAAUUGCCAUCAUUAAGUUGGGGACUUUAGCAAGACUGCCAAUGAUAAAUUGGAGGAAGGUGGGGACGACGUCAAAUCAUCAUGCCCCUUAUGACCUGGGCUACAAACGUGAUACAAUGGCUGUUACAAAGGGUAGCUAAAGCGUAAGCUUCUGGCGAAUCUCAAAAAAGCAGUCUCAGUUCGGAUUGAAGUCUGCAACUCGACUUCAUGAAGUUGGAAUCGCUAGUAAUCGCGAAUCAGCAUGUCGCGGUGAAUACGUUCUCGGGGUUUGUACACACCGCCCGUCAAU
Molecule: ribosomal RNA, 1247 nt
Filed under: Candidatus Phytoplasma solani
Lineage: Bacteria; Bacillati; Mycoplasmatota; Mollicutes; Acholeplasmatales; Acholeplasmataceae
Description: bacterial SSU rRNA
Rfam family: Bacterial small subunit ribosomal RNA
Source: RNAcentral